AACGAACGCUGGCGGCAUGCCUAACACAUGCAAGUCGAACGAAAACAUCGGGUCUAGUGGCGCACGGCUGCGUAACGCGUGGGAACCUGCACUUAGGUUCGGACUAACUCCCCGAAAGGGGUGCUAUUACCAGAUAAUGUCUUCGGACGAAAGAUUUAUCGCCUUUGUAUGGGCCCGCGUUGGAUUAGCUAGUUGGUACGGUAAAAGCCGACCAAGGCGACGAUCCGUAGCUUGUCUGAGAGGAUGAUCAGCCACUCUGGGACUGAGACACGGCCCAGACUCCUACGGGAAGCAGCAGUGGGGAAUAUUGGACAGCGGGCGAAAUCCUGAUCCAGUAAUGCCGCUUGAGUGAUGAAGGCCGUAGGGUUGUAAAGCUCUUUUACCCGGGAUGAUAAUGACAGUACCGGGAGAAUAAGCCCCGGCUAACUCCGUG
RNAcentral lists this ribosomal RNA (433 nucleotides) under uncultured bacterium. Its description in RNAcentral is "partial 16S ribosomal RNA". It matches the Rfam family "Bacterial small subunit ribosomal RNA", at positions 29 to 507 of the family's 1533-position model. The record is from RNAcentral.